GACGAACGCUGGCGGCGUGCUUAACACAUGCAAGUCGAACGGAAAGGCCCUGCUUGUGUGGGGUGCUCGAGUGGCGAACGGGUGAGUAACACGUGAGUAACCUGCCCUUGACUUUGGGAUAACUUCAGGAAACUGGGGCUAAUACCAGAUAGGAGCUCCUGCUGCAUGGUGGGGGGGGGAAAUUUUCGGCGGUUGGGGAUGGACUCGCGGCUUAUCAGCUUGUUGGUGGGGUAGUGGCUUACCAAGGCUUUGACGGGUAGCCGGCCUGAGAGGGUGACCGGCCACAUUGGGACUGAGAUACGGCCCAGACUCCUACGGGAGGCAGCAGUGGGGAAUAUUGCACAAUGGGCGGAAGCCUGAUGCAGCAACGCCGCGUGCGGGAUGACGGCCUUCGGGUUGUAAACCGCUUUCGCCUGUGACGAAGCGUGAGUGACGGUAAUGGGUAAAGAAGCACCGGCUAACUACGUG
This 468-nucleotide ribosomal RNA is filed under the name uncultured bacterium. Its description in RNAcentral is "partial 16S ribosomal RNA". It matches the Rfam family "Bacterial small subunit ribosomal RNA", at positions 28 to 507 of the family's 1533-position model. The record is from RNAcentral.